Molecule: RNA transcript, 6684 nt
Organism: Bombus huntii
Lineage: Eukaryota; Metazoa; Arthropoda; Insecta; Hymenoptera; Apidae
Gene: pnut
Gene name: septin-7
Exons: 12
Source: RefSeq, a predicted model, not a curated record
UAAACGUUUUAUUUCAAUAUCUUUUCCAUCUAGGCAGGUGGUACAGUUUCAUAUUUGGUCGUUUGGUCUCUACGAUGCUAGCCUGCCAUUAAAGUUAAGGUAUUUUCAGAAAAUCGAGUCGUUUAAUUCGAUUUCUGAAUGGCCGAAUCGCGACUAUGACCCUUCCGUGAAAUCGACAGGCACAAUUUACGCGUGUUCCACUUUCGUCGAACGAGACGGAUUAAUUCGCAUCGCGUUAUCGAUAUUUCGAUGAAAUUGCUCGCUCGAAAGACGUAGCUUUUUUUUAAUCGGAUCGUCACGCGGCGUUCUAGUCCAUUGGAACGAGAACGAUAUCUGAGGAGAUAUCUUGAGAAUUGGAAACAUCGUUAACCGGUAUAAAGAUAAUUAUUCAUGUACGUGCACGAGUUAGCAGGGAAAGAUGCAUUUUCCAACGAACACGUAUCUGUGUAUGGAUAAAGUAGAAUCAGAACGAGUACGUUCCGCCGUAACGUUCUAACGCGUUAAUACCCUGCUCGAGAUAAUUAGUGGAUCGCCUAAUCGAAUGACCCGAUUGCCCAAUAAGGUUGUCCUCGGCACUUUGCCAAUUUCAAUUACGUUAAUUCCUUCGCCGCGUUCCACAGUGUAGAUUGACAGUGUCGAGAAUACAAAUCAAUAAUCGAGCAAGAUGACGAAAAAGAAAGAACGUGUGGCGAACGUAACGGUAUAAUAAUUGAGGCGCGAUAUACAUACUCGGAUGAAACUUUGCUCAUAAUGAUACAAACAAGCGUACUCAAUAGCCAUCUUAUGUAAUUUAAUGCGCGAUAACCAAUUUUUGAGUUACCUAAAGCAAUUCAUUUAUUUGGAGAAUUUGCACAACCGUUGAAUAUCGUGGCUUUGACGGAGGAGAACGUGAUAAUUAUAUGUAUAAAAAAUGAUCGCUUUUCGGGUAUCCGCAAAAAUGAGUUCGAAACGCGAGAUAUUUAUUAAGGCUAGAACUAGCGAACCAUGUGAAACGGCUGGUAUCAGAUUUUUCAUUUUGAACGCGGCUACCAAAAACGUGCAAAUAUUUUUCUUAAUAUACAGGCUGUAACUGGUGGUAGAAACGGAAAGGGGGUGAUUCUAGGCGAAAAAAGAAGUCGAAAAUAUAGAAUAACAAUUUUUCGUUCGAGGCUUUGUUCUCGAGAAAAUCGACUUUGAAUUUUCGCUCGGUACGCCUGCGGCGCGUUAUAACCGAUCUCCCUGUAGAUCGUUGUCUCGAUGGAAAAAUAAAAAAAAAAAAAAUUUGUAUUCUAUAUUUUCGACUUCUUUUUUCGCCUAGAAUCACCCCCUUUCCGUUUCUACCACCAGUUACCAACCACCCUGUAUUAUCACGUAAUGUUUAUCAUUAUCAGGACGAACAUUUUUAAGAGAUCCGUCUUUUUAAUCGUACGCUUCAUCUAGCAAACCCGACGAUAUUUUGUCUGCAAUGUACUAACACGAACGUUAUUUCCCUUCAACAUCGCCGGACCUCGUCCUUAUCCCCGACAUCCUUUUAUCGCAUUCCUUCUUCCUUCCUCGCUCUCUCUCUCUCUCUCUCCGUUUUUCUGUUUCCGGUUUCACGCGGAUGUUGGAUGACCGCACGCUACGCGAUAAACGCCGACACGAUGACGAUGAUCGCUAUAACCACGACAACGUCACAACCGCCACGGCUACUUCGGACACCACGGCAGCGAUACAGGCGAAGCGCGAGCUAUUUUUCAAAGGCGACAACGCCGGAAUAAUAUCGUCGCCAUCCGUGCCAUCGGUGCCGCCUCCGCAACCUCCGUCGCAGGCCCCGUCGUCGAUGAGCACGUCGUCGACGAGCACGUCGUCGACGACGACCACGACGAUCACGACGCUCGCCUCGCCCAACACAGCACCGCCAGCCUCCUCCACCGUGUACACGAGCGUCGCAUCGUCGGCGCCUGCUUCCAAGCCACGAUUACCUCCGUCCACGGUGAUCCUGAAUCAAAACGAUGCAUCGGAGGACAGCAAUAAACGGGAGUCGAACAGAAGCAACGAGAACAAGGAAACCGCUGUUCUUCAUCCACGACCAACGCCACAGACCAAGCCCAAAGAACUCGAUGGUUACGUGGGUUUCGCGAAUCUGCCUAACCAAGUCUAUAGAAAGGCCGUUAAGAAGGGAUUCGAUUUCACUCUGAUGGUCGUCGGUGAGUCGGGACUAGGAAAAUCCACUUUGAUCAAUUCCAUGUUCCUCGCUGAUAUAUACAGUGCUGAGUAUCCCGGUCCUAGCCUUAGGGUGAAGAAAACCGUAGCCGUAGAGACUAGCAAAGUAUUGUUAAAGGAGAACGGUGUAAAUCUCACGUUGACCGUCGUUGACACGCCCGGAUUUGGCGAUGCGGUCGACAACAGCAAUUGUUGGGUACCGGUGAUCGAAUAUAUCGAGUCAAAAUACGAGGAGUUCCUGAACGCCGAGUCUCGUGUAGUGAGACGGCAGAUACCAGACAGUCGAGUACAUUGUUGUCUCUACUUCGUCGCACCCUCCGGCCAUGGUUUGAAGCCGUUGGAUGUAGAGUUCAUGCAACGUCUUCACGACAAAGUUAACAUUAUACCUGUCAUCGCGAAGGCGGACACCAUGACGCCAGACGAAUGUGCUCAUUUUAAGAAACAGAUUUUGAACGAGAUAGCGCAACACAAGAUAAAAAUUUACGAGUUCCCGGAAGUGGAGGAAGAAGAAGAAAGUAAACUGCAUAAAGUUCUUAGAGAAAGAGUGCCGUUUGCGGUGGUGGGUGCAAACACCGUGGUCGAACACGAUGGUAGGAAAGUUCGUGGAAGGAAGUAUCCUUGGGGAGUUGCAGAAGUGGAAAAUUUGGAACAUUGCGACUUCAUAGCACUCCGAAACAUGGUGAUUAGGACGCAUUUGCAAGAUUUGAAAGACGUGACAAAUAAUGUACAUUAUGAAAAUUUCCGAUGUCGCACGUUAGCCGGCGUUGGAGUGGAUGGAAAACCGACAAAAGUCUCCAAUAAUUUGUGCCCUCCAGGAGUGAUGAACAGUUUCAUGACAGUGUGGAAUCCGCUGGCUCAGUUGGAAGAAGAGAAAAGGGAACAUGAUAAUAAAAUGAAGAAAAUGGAGAUUGAUAUGGAGCAGGUGUUUGAAAUGAAAGUCAGAGAGAAGAAGCAAAAACUUAAGGACUCGGAAGCGGAUCUACAAAGAAGGCACGAACAAAUGAGACGCUCUUUGGAACAACAAGUGCGUGAAUUAGAGGAAAAGAGACGAGCAUUCGAGACUGAAAAAUUAGCAUGGGAACAACAGACUGGACACAGUAUCGAAGAAUUACGUAGACGCAGCCUGGAAGCUAAUUCGAAAGAGACGGGAUCAGUGUCUUCCGAGGGAUCUGGCGGUGGCGGGGGUACAUUGAAGGGUUCCCGAGGGAUAGGAAGUCUCCUACGCCGUCACACCAGUUUCAAAUCACCUCAAGACAGCCCUACACAGAUACAGCUUGUCAUACAACAUCCCGAGCAUCCUUAGUAGAUCGUAGAAUCUAUAUCUACAUUUACUCACAAAAUGCCUCUACGUCGCUGUGUCCAAGGACUAAAAUCUUUCAAAACAUUAACGUCGAUCUCAUUUUUUAUACGUUUGUUGCGUGUGUUUAUUUUACCGACGAUACAACGUGUACGUACAAAUAUACCGAUAUAUACAAUGCGUAUUCGUAUACGUCCACGAAAUUUAAUUUACACAUCGUACGAGUAUUUGUGUAUCUUUUUGUCUGCCCGUUAUUUUUUCGAUUAGCUUUGUUUUAUAAUUAGCAGGAGGUGUUCGCGUUGAAAAGUAUGCUAAUUAAGACUAUUGUGAAAUAGUAUAAUUCGGUUGCUGCGGUGUACGGUAGCAGGUAUCUUUAUCGCUUACGUUUUCUUUGUUUCUCGAACGUUUCAUAAACGAAAACGACGAAUAUCCUUGAAUAUAAGACUAAGUUUAUAAUACACAUAUAUCAUAAAUAACGAAGAAUCACCGUCAGCUUGGAAUCGAAGUGAAUUAGUGGUAUUUACGAUGAUCACUGUCAUACGAAUGCUUGUCUACUUAUAAUAGAAUCGAGUACCAUUAAGGAAGCUGAAUAACGUCUGAUGUUUAUUUAUAGGCGACGAUGUUGCGAAAGACAUUAAAUCUUAGAGUGAAGAACUAGAGAAAGAAGAUAUCUUCGUAUCGAAAAUAAAUUUUGAUGCCAGAUAGUAGUUUGUUGCAAGUCAUCGAUAUUCUUCAUAAAAGCAGAAGAAAAAUCAGUAAAUAACUACAUCUUAAAAUUCAUUAACAUAUUUUGGCAGUCGACGGUAAGGAUAAGAAGAAUAAGAAGAAAGGACUAUUCUAAGUCGACUUCAGAAAGACAACGUGAAGAGUGAGCUUUUCUUAAAGUAAUCGAUAGUAAUUUUUCUUCAAAAAUAUCAUAUUGAUAAUGCGAUUUCUUUAAGAGAAAUUGGAUAUAAAUUAACAAAAAAAAAAAAGUUUGACUUGAGAAAGAUUUAUCGAUAAAAUCUCCCGGUCUAUUCUGCAUCUGGCUUUUCAAAAUUUUCAUUUUUUCACGAUACGAUAUUUUACGAUUUUUUACAUCUUAGAACAACGUUGCUCGUGCACAUUUCGAAAUCAGCAAAGAUAAGGCGUGGCUCGGGAGAUUCGUUAAUUGAUUAAAAGACAAGAUAGGAAUAUGUGUUACUUAAAUCAUGCAGUUGACGUGUGUACUGUGUAUACCAUUCGUAUAACGUUUAUACGACCGCCUCGGCAUUCUAAUAAUUCUUUUACGGGCAUAAACGUGUUAUGCUUUGAAGAGUGAAAAUGAAAGUGUUUGUUCUGUCGUGUUUGCCUGUGCUUCUUCGCGCUUCCUAUUAUUAACGCCCGACAAAAUCACACCUAGUACAAUUCGAUAAACAAUAAUUGUACAAAAUGUAGACAUAAUUUCAAAGGACGUAAUUUUCUUUAACAAAAGUGUUCAAAGGGAUGCCGAAAGAGAGACAAAAGAUCUUUGAUUUCUUUCGAUCAAUCUUCGUUUCUCACACUGAAUUAUUUAUGUAUAUUGUCCUUAACACUUUGAAUAUCACGAUUAUAUGUCAAUAUUUAUGUCGAUAUUUUAAAUACGAUAGUUAUGUUAAUAUAGGUGUAUAAUAUAAAAAUAUCAAGAAGUGUAAGAUCUUAAUGGCAAUUCAUGGAGAUUUAAGUGUCAAAACAAAAUGAUCGAACGAUAAUCGCUCUUGUAUCAUACAUUCUAUGUAUCAUACGUAGCUGGAAGUGCAGAUUCGGUUGAACGUGAGUUUCUAAGUACUGUUGCACACCUAUUGUUUCUAGGCGGAGCGUAAAAAUAUCUUUCUCCAUGGAAGAAAAAAUCGAAACGUGCGAUACACUAUCGACCUAAUAAACGAAAGAGGUCUCUGUAUCUAAAGCUAGCAAUAAGUUAUAUCGAUGUUUCUAUUACAUAACCUAAAUUGUUACAGGAUAGCGCAUUUAUAUAAUUAUAAAGGGAUGAUGCUCACCCUACGAAACAAAUUGUAUAAAUAAUUGUUUUACAUCAAUCAUAUUCUUCCUUUCAGUAUUCGCUUAAUGCGAGUAACAGCGUGCUGCUUUAUAACGUAACGAAUUAUCGAACACGAUGAAACUUAAACAUAAGGAAAGGACAACGUUAUUCGUCUUUUCACUCAACUCUCAACUCGCAUCAUUCUACGUCGGAUCGUUGAAUGUGAUUCUAAAUGAAGCAGUGGCCAUAUAUAUAUACAUAUAUAAAUAUAUAUUUAUGUAUAAAUGAAAUCGAGGAGAUCGUAAGGAUAAGUCCAAUUCGUGUAAAUUUAAGUUGUAUCGAUAACGAGACAAAUCGGGUAAGAUUAAAUUGUAUAAAAUAAAUCUAAGUGUAUGCUGGAUCGUCGUGAUUCGAGACAGUGCGUUAAUAUUUCAGUUCACUGCAAAAUCAAAGGAAAUAGAAAUUAUUGAGUUACGAGCUAAUUAAGUUUAUUAUCAAAGCGGAUGGUAAUCGAAUUGAUACGGAAUAUGUACGAGAAGAAUAACCGUGCCGUCUCGAACCCGUCCAAGUAUACGUUGGUAUAUGCAACAAGGAUGGGCAAACCGAUUUAGCAAUAAGUUCCUUGACUUCUUUACGUCGCAUAUACGGUCAGUUGUGUUUCUUUUGUUUCUGCUGUUAUCUAUAUCUUUUAUUAUCGGAUACUUUGCAGAGGAACGUUCUCGCCAGAUCAGAAUCUUCGCAAAAGAAAUCCAAAAGUUUGCCCAGUCUUGGAUUUGUAUUCUAAGCUAAUUGAAUUACUGGUGUGCCAAUACGAAGAGAAUAAGCAUUUUAUAAUAACGCUAGUACGUGAUUCUUCAGUUUUUGUAAAAUAAGAUUCGUGCGAUUUUCUCAUAACAGGCGGAGGAAAAAAGAAGUUUAAAAAAAAAAAAAAAGGAUUUCGUCUCAAUUUAUUGGGAAAAACUACGUGUUACAUUCCUAUUUUGUACGGAUUUUUCUAGGUAAAAAGACUCGACUCGUCACCUUGGUCUUUUCUCGAUACCGACAAUCCAUUUAGAAGUUCAAAGCAAAUCGCUUCGAUCGCACGGAGAACGACGCCGAUAGUUUGAAAAGUUUAUUAGCAAAGAUAAUAAACGUAACGCUAAGGUAUAUUAGAACGAUUUGUACUUGGGAACUACGUGGAAACAGAUACUUUUCAAAAUAUCGAUGUGUCUGAAAGAAAAAAGAAAGA